Molecule: ribosomal RNA, 1776 nt
Filed under: Salmonella enterica
Lineage: Bacteria; Pseudomonadati; Pseudomonadota; Gammaproteobacteria; Enterobacterales; Enterobacteriaceae
Description: partial 23S ribosomal RNA
Rfam family: Bacterial large subunit ribosomal RNA
Source: RNAcentral
AGACCCGAAACCCGGUGAUCUAGCCAUGGGCAGGUUGAAGGUUGGGUAACACUAACUGGAGGACCGAACCGACUAAUGUUGAAAAAUUAGCGGAUGACCUGUGGCUGGGGGUGAAAGGCCAAUCAAACCGGGAGAUAGCUGGUUCUCCCCGAAAGCUAUUUAGGUAGCGCCUCGUGAAUUCAUCUCCGGGGGUAGAGCACUGUUUCGGCUAGGGGGCCAUCCCGGCUUACCAACCCGAUGCAAACUGCGAAUACCGGAGAAUGUUAUCACGGGAGACACACGGCGGGUGCUAACGUCCGUCGUGAAGAGGGAAACAACCCAGACCGCCAGCUAAGGUCCCAAAGUCAUGGUUAAGUGGGAAACGAUGUGGGAAGGCCCAGACAGCCAGGAUGUUGGCUUAGAAGCAGCCAUCAUUUAAAGAAAGCGUAAUAGCUCACUGGUCGAGUCGGCCUGCGCGGAAGAUGUAACGGGGCUAAACCAUGCACCGAAGCUGCGGCAGCGACACUGUGUGUUGUUGGGUAGGGGAGCGUUCUGUAAGCCUGCGAAGGUGGCCUGUGAGGGUUGCUGGAGGUAUCAGAAGUGCGAAUGCUGACAUAAGUAACGAUAAAGCGGGUGAAAAGCCCGCUCGCCGGAAGACCAAGGGUUCCUGUCCAACGUUAAUCGGGGCAGGGUGAGUCGACCCCUAAGGCGAGGCCGAAAGGCGUAGUCGAUGGGAAACGGGUUAAUAUUCCCGUACUUGGUGUUACUGCGAAGGGGGGACGGAGAAGGCUAUGUUGGCCGGGCGACGGUUGUCCCGGUUUAAGCGUGUAGGUGUGUGUUCCAGGUAAAUCCGGUUCACUUUAACACUGAGGCGUGACGACGAGGCACUACGGUGCUGAAGCAACAAAUGCCCUGCUUCCAGGAAAAGCCUCUAAGCAUCAGGUAACAUCAAAUCGUACCCCAAACCGACACAGGUGGUCAGGUAGAGAAUACCAAGGCGCUUGAGAGAACUCGGGUGAAGGAACUAGGCAAAAUGGUGCCGUAACUUCGGGAGAAGGCACGCUGACACGUAGGUGAAGUGAUUUACUCAUGGAGCUGAAGUCAGUCGAAGAUACCAGCUGGCUGCAACUGUUUAUUAAAAACACAGCACUGUGCAAACACGAAAGUGGACGUAUACGGUGUGACGCCUGCCCGGUGCCGGAAGGUUAAUUGAUGGGGUCAGCGCAAGCGAAGCUCCUGAUCGAAGCCCCGGUAAACGGCGGCCGUAACUAUAACGGUCCUAAGGUAGCGAAAUUCCUUGUCGGGUAAGUUCCGACCUGCACGAAUGGCGUAAUGAUGGCCAGGCUGUCUCCACCCGAGACUCAGUGAAAUUGAACUCGCUGUGAAGAUGCAGUGUACCCGCGGCAAGACGGAAAGACCCCGUGAACCUUUACUAUAGCUUGACACUGAACAUUGAGCCUUGAUGUGUAGGAUAGGUGGGAGGCUUUGAAGUGUGGACGCCAGUCUGCAUGGAGCCGACCUUGAAAUACCACCCUUUAAUGUUUGAUGUUCUAACGUGGACCCGUUACCCGGGUUGCGGACAGUGUCUGGUGGGUAGUUUGACUGGGGCGGUCUCCUCCUAAAGAGUAACGGAGGAGCACGAAGGUUGGCUAAUCCUGGUCGGACAUCAGGAGGUUAGUGCAAUGGCAUAAGCCAGCUUGACUGCGAGCGUGACGGCGCGAGCAGGUGCGAAAGCAGGUCAUAGUGAUCCGGUGGUUCUGAAUGGAAGGGCCAUCGCUCAACGGAUAAAAGGUACUC